CCUACGGGAGGCAGCAGUGGGGAAUAUUGGACAAUGGGGGCAACCCUGAUCCAGCCAUGCCGCGUGUGUGAAGAAGGCUUUCGGGUUGUAAAGCACUUUCAGCGAGGAGGAAAACCUUUGGGUUAAUAACCCUGAGGCUUGACGUUACUCGCAGAAGAAGCACCGGCUAACUCCGUGCCAGCAGCCGCGGUAAU
RNAcentral lists this ribosomal RNA (194 nucleotides) under uncultured bacterium. Its description in RNAcentral is "partial 16S ribosomal RNA". It matches the Rfam family "Bacterial small subunit ribosomal RNA", at positions 338 to 524 of the family's 1533-position model. The record is from RNAcentral.